This 406-nucleotide ribosomal RNA is filed under the name uncultured bacterium. RNAcentral describes it as "partial 16S ribosomal RNA". It matches the Rfam family "Bacterial small subunit ribosomal RNA", at positions 30 to 526 of the family's 1533-position model. The record is from RNAcentral.
AUUGAACGCUGGCGGCAGGCCUAACACAUGCAAGUCGAACGAGUGGCGGACGGGUGAGUCAUGUCUGGGAAACUGCCUGAUGGAGGGGGAUAACUAAUGGAAACGGUAGCUAAUACCGCAUACCAUCAGAUGUGCCCAGAUGGGAUUAGCUAGUUAGUGGGGUAACGGGUCAACACGGCGACGAUCCCUAGCUGGUCUUAGAGGAUGACCAGCCACACUGGAACUGAGACCCGGGCCAGACUCCUACGUGAGGCAGCAGUGGGGAAUAUUGCACAAUGGGCGCAAUCCUGAUGCAGCCAUGCCGUGUGUAUGAAGAAGGCCUUCGGGUUGUAAAGUACUUUCAGCGGGGAGGCGUUACCCGCAGAAUAAGCACCGGCUAACUCCGUGCCAGCAGCCGCGGUAAUUC